CUAUACAUGCAGUCGAGCGAACUGAUUAGAAGCUUGCUUCUAUGACGUUAGCGGCGGACGGGUGAGUAACACGUGGGCAACCUGCCUGUAAGACUGGGAUAACUUCGGGAAACCGAAGCUAAUACCGGAUAGGAUCUUCUCCUUCAUGGGAGAUGAUUGAAAGAUGGUUUCGGCUAUCACUUACAGAUGGGCCCGCGGUGCAUUAGCUAGUUGGUGAGGUAACGGCUCACCAAGGCAACGAUGCAUAGCCGACCUGAGAGGGUGAUCGGCCACACUGGGACUGAGACACGGCCCAGACUCCUACGGGAGGCAGCAGUAGGGAAUCUUCCGCAAUGGACGAAAGUCUGACGGAGCAACGCCGCGUGAGUGAUGAAGGCUUUCGGGUCGUAAAACUCUGUUGUUAGGGAAGAACAAGUACGAGAGUAACUGCUCGUACCUUGACGGUACCUAACCAGAAAGCCACGGCUAACUACGUGCCAGCAGCCGCGGUAAUACGUAGGUGGCAAGCGUUAUCCGGAAUUAUUGGGCGUAAAGCGCGCGCAGGCGGUUUCUUAAGUCUGAUGUGAAAGCCCACGGCUCAACCGUGGAGGGUCAUUGGAAACUGGGGAACUUGAGUGCAGAAGAGAAAAGCGGAAUUCCACGUGUAGCGGUGAAAUGCGUAGAGAUGUGGAGGAACACCAGUGGCGAAGGCGGCUUUUUGGUCUGUAACUGACGCUGAGGCGCGAAAGCGUGGGGA
Molecule: ribosomal RNA, 736 nt
Filed under: Priestia aryabhattai
Lineage: Bacteria; Bacillati; Bacillota; Bacilli; Caryophanales; Bacillaceae
Description: bacterial SSU rRNA
Rfam family: Bacterial small subunit ribosomal RNA
Source: RNAcentral